This 670-nucleotide ribosomal RNA is filed under the name Micrococcus sp. MUU11. RNAcentral's name for it is "bacterial SSU rRNA". It matches the Rfam family "Bacterial small subunit ribosomal RNA", at positions 77 to 761 of the family's 1533-position model. The record is from RNAcentral. Lineage: Bacteria; Bacillati; Actinomycetota; Actinomycetes; Micrococcales; Micrococcaceae.
AGCUUGCUGGGUGGAUUAGUGGCGAACGGGUGAGUAACACGUGAGUAACCUGCCCUUAACUCUGGGAUAAGCCUGGGAAACUGGGUCUAAUACCGGAUAGGAGCGUCCACCGCAUGGUGGGUGUUGGAAAGAUUUAUCGGUUUUGGAUGGACUCGCGGCCUAUCAGCUUGUUGGUGAGGUAAUGGCUCACCAAGGCGACGACGGGUAGCCGGCCUGAGAGGGUGACCGGCCACACUGGGACUGAGACACGGCCCAGACUCCUACGGGAGGCAGCAGUGGGGAAUAUUGCACAAUGGGCGMAAGCCUGAUGCAGCGACGCCGCGUGAGGGAUGACGGCCUUCGGGUUGUAAACCUCUUUCAGUAGGGAAGAAGCGAAAGUGACGGUACCUGCAGAAGAAGCACCGGCUAACUACGUGCCAGCAGCCGCGGUAAUACGUAGGGUGCGAGCGUUAUCCGGAAUUAUUGGGCGUAAAGAGCUCGUAGGCGGUUUGUCGCGUCUGUCGUGAAAGUCCGGGGCUUAACCCCGGAUCUGCGGUGGGUACGGGCAGACUAGAGUGCAGUAGGGGAGACUGGAAUUCCUGGUGUAGCGGUGGAAUGCGCAGAUAUCAGGAGGAACACCGAUGGCGAAGGCAGGUCUCUGGGCUGUAACUGACGCUGAGGAGCGAAAGCA